UACGGAGGAUCCAAGCGUUAUCCGGAUUCAUUGGGUUUAAAGGGUGCGUAGGCGGAAUGAUAAGUCAGUGGUGAAAGCCUGCAGCUUAACUGCAGAACUGCCAUUGAUACUGUCAAUCUUGAGUACAUUUGAUGUGGGCGGAAUGUGUCAUGUAGCGGUGAAAUGCUUAGAUAUGACACAGAACACCGAUUGCGAAGGCAGCUCACAAAACUGUAACUGACGCUGAGGCACGAAAGCGUGGGUAUCAAACAGGAUUAGAUACCCUGGUAGUCCACGCUGUAAACUAUGAUUACUCGAUGUUUGCGAUAUACUGUAAGCGUCUAAGCGAAAGCGAUAAGUAAUCCACCUGGGGAGUACGCUCGCAAGAGUGAA
Molecule: ribosomal RNA, 372 nt
Filed under: uncultured bacterium
Lineage: Bacteria
Description: bacterial SSU rRNA
Rfam family: Bacterial small subunit ribosomal RNA
Source: RNAcentral